RNAcentral lists this ribosomal RNA (635 nucleotides) under Escherichia coli. RNAcentral's name for it is "partial 23S ribosomal RNA". It matches the Rfam family "Bacterial large subunit ribosomal RNA", at positions 1261 to 1881 of the family's 2925-position model. The record is from RNAcentral. Lineage: Bacteria; Pseudomonadati; Pseudomonadota; Gammaproteobacteria; Enterobacterales; Enterobacteriaceae.
CUGUGAGGUAUGCUGGAGGUAUCAGAAGUGCGAAUGCUGACAUAAGUAACGAUAAAGCGGGUGAAAAGCCCGCUCGCCGGAAGACCAAGGGUUCCUGUCCAACGUUAAUCGGGGCAGGGUGAGUCGACCCCUAAGGCGAGGCCGAAAGGCGUAGUCGAUGGGAAACAGGUUAAUAUUCCUGUACUUGGUGUUACUGCGAAGGGGGGACGGAGAAGGCUAUGUUGGCCGGGCGACGGUUGUCCCGGUUUAAGCGUGUAGGCUGAUUUUCCAGGCAAAUCCGGAAAAUCAAGGCUGAGGCGUGAUGACGAGGCACUACGGUGCUGAAGCAACAAAUGCCCUGCUUCCAGGAAAAGCCUCUAAGCAUCAGGUAACAUCAAAUCGUACCCCAAACCGACACAGGUGGUCAGGUAGAGAAUACCAAGGCGCUUGAGAGAACUCGGGUGAAGGAACUAGGCAAAAUGGUGCCGUAACUUCGGGAGAAGGCACGCUGAUAUGUAGGUGAAGCGACUUGCUCGUGGAGCUGAAAUCAGUCGAAGAUACCAGCUGGCUGCAACUGUUUAUUAAAAACACAGCACUGUGCAAACACGAAAGUGGACGUAUACGGUGUGACGCCUGCCCGGUGCCGGAAGGUUAAU